This 458-nucleotide ribosomal RNA is filed under the name uncultured bacterium. RNAcentral describes it as "partial 16S ribosomal RNA". It matches the Rfam family "Bacterial small subunit ribosomal RNA", at positions 338 to 795 of the family's 1533-position model. The record is from RNAcentral.
CCUACGGGCGACAGCAGUGAGGAAUAUUGGUCAAUGGGCGAGAGCCUGAACCAGCCAAGUCGCGUGAGGGAGUACUGCCCUAUGGGUUGUAAACCUCUUUUGUCGGGGAGCAAAAGCCGGACGUGUCCGGCUGUGAGAGUACCCGAAGAAAAAGCAUCGGCUAACUCCGUGCCAGCAGCCGCGGUAAUACGGAGGAUGCGAGCGUUAUCCGGAUUUAUUGGGUUUAAAGGGUGCGCAGGCGGAUUUUUAAGUCAGCGGUAAAAUCGUUGGGCUCAACCCCAUCCAGCCGUUGAAACUGGGGAUCUAGAGUGUGCGAGAGGUAUGCGGAAUGCGUGGUGUAGCGGUGAAAUGCAUAGAUAUCACGCAGAACCCCGAUUGCGAAGGCAGCAUACCGGUGCACAACUGACGCUCAGGCACGAAAGCGUGGGUAUCGAACAGGAUUAGAUACCCUGGUAGUC